This is a long non-coding RNA of Egretta garzetta (little egret), 7384 nucleotides long. RefSeq lists it as uncharacterized. The transcript has 2 exons. The record is from RefSeq and is a predicted model, not a curated record. Lineage: Eukaryota; Metazoa; Chordata; Aves; Pelecaniformes; Ardeidae.
UCACUGUAAGAGUCUAGGGGCCUCGUGAUGCAGACACUGCUGCCUAAGAAGUUGUACUGACAGCAACUCCUAUGUAAAAAGUAAGUGGAGGCCCAGGGUAUUCCAUCACAAGCGUUACCGCCCGUGUCUGAUUUUUCUCAGCCAGGUGUCUUUGGGGAGUCUUCUGGACAACCCAGGAAUUGAAAUAACUGUAGACCUUGAUUCUGCAUAACUAUUUACACCUUUCCCUCCUUUUUGUUACUCAUGUUUGUGAAGAACACAAGUAAGUGAAAAGAACAACCAGCCAACGAAAUAAACUAUGGAUGUACCUAAGAGUUCAGUUCAGUUUAAUUACAAAUACAUACAAGGACAAACAAUAUUCAGCACCAUUUAACUGGUCAAACUGGAACAGUUUUUGUGAAGCUGAAAGGGAAAAGGAAAGGCAGAGAAGAAAGAGGUAUCAAGGGGAAAAGUGCAAGAGCAAAAGCUCUGAUGGCACUACAGAGUUUGAUUUUUUGUCUCUUAAACUUUUUCCUGGUCAUCUUGUUGACUUCCUCAUCUUUCAUGGCCCUCCUUAUGGCCUGUUUCAGAGUCCUCCUUUGCCCUGGUCCCAUGGGGUCAGCUUUUCUCAGCGUCCCAGAGAAAGCAGGAACAGUUACCCACUGCUGGUUUCUGACAGCAGAGUACAUUUGGUUCAGCUGAAGCCAGGUAUACAAGUAGCGUAAGAUCAGAAUCGGGCCUUUUGCAUGUGUCUUAAGGGAUAUGAACUGUAUCCUUUGAACUGCAUUCUUGAUGAUAUUUGUCACACAUUUCCUCAGCAACUUCAAAAGGGUUUGAGUCCUUUGAUUACAGUAGUGUUUACCUACUAUCUUAACUAACAGGCAUUAGCUCAGAACAGACAUUCACUUAAACACUCCCUUUAUUAACUUUUCCCGCAAGUGCAAAAAUGCUUUCAUUUACAAACAGCCAUGUUAACGUCCCUGGUUAAAUAUAAAGCAGUAUUCUUUUGAGAUCAAAAACAUUAAGAGUGAUAACCAAGUAUGAAUUUCUGUCCUAGAUUUGCAGUAAACUCUGUGCCUGUACUUUCUGCUUUAGGGACCUUAGAAACUUCCUGCCUACCAGUUCUUCACCAUUAACAGCAUGCAGUCACACGCGAGAAACAGGAGCUCUAAGUAUCAAUCUCACUUUUCAUAAAGAAAAUUGUCUCUUGUCUCUAAGAUAAUCACUUAAAAAUGGGUCUAGCACUGUGCCUAUUUUCAGGUUAUUUCCCAGUUCUUUUAAAUUGGUGCCUUAUGAUGGCACAACUGUGUGGCCAGUGCAAUCUAAGUCACGGCUCGGGGAAUAAGCUAGCUCAGUGGCAUAUUUGCUGACCCACAGGGCAGACCUCUCAAGGAUUUUUCCUACCAUUAUGAAGAGUAUACUUCCACCCAAACCUCUCCAGGUAGGCCAGGAGAAAGAUGAGAGCCUGCACAGGUGUAGCAAGGGAACGUGCCUUCAAGCAGCACUCUCCUAAGACAGAAGUGUCCCUUGGAAGUACACUUCUCUCUGUCUUCCUGUUGCGUGUCCCGUAUCAGAUCUAGCUGCUGAGCAAAUCCCAGAGGAGUGUAAUCAGGUAGGGCUGGGGAGUGGCAAUUGCAUGAGUCACAUUUUCAGCAUAUAGAACUGAAAGGCCGGCUGUGGGGAUAGAAUUGAGGCACCAUGCAAAUGAGAUAUCAAAGGCAAAUAAAUACAAAUACAUAUAAAAAUAAUGGUUGAAAUCUCAGCUGAUGGGCAGGUGACUCUUGAAUCGCAUGUAGGUUUUAAGUGGUUCAAGUGUGGUUCCUGCACCAAAGCUCCAUCAUGAGGAUGGCCGGUCUGGGUAACCUGAACCCCAGCUGCUGGAUGAAAUGAGCCAGCUGGUGCUCCUGAGCCUGACAUCAGCAGGUCAUCUGCAAGCCAAAGACACAUGCAGAAACAUUUUGCAGUGGUGAACUGGUGUCCCUGAUGCAGCCUGCUCACAGAGAUUUCCUUUUCUUUUUGGAAAUAGAUGGCACGUGCAGAUCCUGGUCACAUGAAGAUUUUGGUAUAGUGUUCAUAGACCCAAGGCAUUUGGUGAGCUUUUUUACCUUUGCAAAUAAGUGACUUAAAAAUAAAUCCUCUUGGUCUUGCUCACAUAGUCAGCAGGACUACUUUGUCUGAGAAAGAACUGUGCGGAGUUGGAUUCAGAUUUCCUGCUUACUACAGUCACUUACCCCUAUUCAGAGUGCAAAGUACUUGCUAGCCCAGAGCAGUAAUGCUUCACACUUACAUUGCUCAGAUACCAAUGAGUUGACGGGGUCAAAAAUGAAUAAGAAUGAAACCUCUGAACAGGUUGAUAGCUUGCUGACGCUGAGGGUUGCACCGGCUCAGCGCAAAGCUGCCUGCAUUCAUCCAGUUCUGGGGCGAAUGGGUUCAUUCAGCCAGUGGUGCAAGUUAGGGUGAACCUGCCCUGUCCUGCUGCUGCGAAGACACCAGGUCAUUACAGGAGAUCAGAAUUUCUUCUUCCUCUUGUCCUGGUCUUGUCCCUCCAUCAAGGCUUUAAGAUGGCACCCAGAGGAGCAUUCAUACAGACACACAACUUCUCAUUGUCAAAGAGGAGAAUCACUGCAACAUCCAAACACAGCAGAUUUUUUUAAAGAGCAUCUGAUUCUGUAAGAGGCUCUGGGCUUCUGUUUUCACCAUGGAACCCAAGGAAGAUGCAUGGUCUUAUUUGCUUGGCCAAGGCAUUUGUCUCUUUUUCAAGCAACUCUCAGCAUUGCCACGUUGACCAGUGUGGUCUACUACAGCUCUAAUGAGGAGUACCAAGCAAAGUCUAAGGCUACGUUCCAUGUAUUCCAUGAAUUGUUCUCUAUUUGAGAUCUUGCCAGAAAAAGUAGAUGACAUUAAUCCAUUCCAGCACAGCUUCUUUCUAGCCCACUCUUUUUCUGUUUCUUUGUAAUGCAGUUUGUAUGGCAUUCAAUACAUUAAUGUUUCAUAGCAUGUUUAAGUCUCCAUUUAAACUUAAAUCCCAUAUUGCCAAUGUAGCUUGUGAGAAAACAAAAACAAAACCGAAAAACCACAGGAGUUCCACCUUGCAACUCUCACUCAUGAGAAUAAACCUGACUUGUGAAGCCACUGACUACUGAUUUCAGAGUUUGCGCCAAAGAAUUUAAUUUGCCUCUUACAAAGCUUCCUGUACAGUUCUAAGCCUAUACAGGGACUGUUCAUACAUAUAUACAGACAUAGAUAUGUACACAUACACAAAAAUGUAUGGCCAAAGCAGUCAGCAUAAGGUAGAUUCCUAGCAGAUCUUUCCAAAUCCAAAUAUGUGCACAUUUAAUCAGUUAAAAUUUCUACUUUUUUUUUUUUUUUUCAGUUCACUAGCUGUUCAGUUGUCCAGCUGCCAGGUUUUGCUUGGGUUCCUGGAGUAUACUGGCAAUCAGUUCCCUCUGUGUCUCAUACAUCAAAACAGUACAGCUGGAGAGUAGCCCACAUUUCAUUACCUUCCAAAAGGUCCACAUUAGCUGCCUUUACGUUAACAAUACUUCCUGAAGAUAUAUUAGCUUGAUCAAAAAUAUUGCCCAGAAGAAAUACAUUUUAUCUUACCUAGUACUUUGAUUCUCUUUUCUCCUAUAAUAUUUCAAUUCAGAGAAGCUUUUUCUUAGGAAAGAAGAGAGAGCCAGUAAAAAUAUCUGAUGUCCUCUGAAAAGCAGAAGAUUUGUGCCAUAGAUGUUAAUGUCUACCAGUGUCUGUGACAUCUGUUCUGUGGUUAAGAGAAAUCACCAGCAUAUAUUUUAAAUUACCAGGAUGUAUUUUAGAACCAGAACAUAACAAAACCUAGCAAUUUGAAAUUAGGUCCAGUUUUUUUUUUUCUUCUUUUUUACUGUAGCCAUAAGUGUUAUCAAAGAAUUGCACUGGUGAAAAGAAAAUCUGGUAACAAACAAACAAAGUUAAAAAAAGGAUCCUUUUUUUAAGGAUUACUUAAAAGUAAGAUUAUUGCUCUGUAACAUUUAUGCAUUAUUUAUAAAUAACUCCAGUGUUGACUGUAGAUUAAAAAUUACAAAUAAGAUAUCACAGUGACAGGACCAAAUAGGAUGUGGCCCUCCAUUACACAUUGCAAGGUCUUUUCGUGCAGAACUUUGUGAGGUGUGCACAGUGGAAGCAGGGGCCACAGGACCUGUUCACAGCAUCAUUGAUGCUAACAGAAUUGCCUAAAUUGCCUGAAGUGAUUUAGGAUGAGAUUUAAAACCCCAUCCUGCUUCCAUGUAAAGCAGUGUCAAAGUUCUGGUUCUCUGAACGGGUCUGGGAUGCCUAUGAAAGCAUGAACCACCUUGCCAGGGUGCAUCCAGAGAUGUCUGCAAAGGUGAGAAAGGCAGGUGUGAAACUACCUAGCAAAUAAUGAGGAUGAGUGUUUUACAUUCAUCAUCCUGUCACGGAGCACUAGAACUCUGGAAAACUCCCAAAUGGCUUUGUCAUUGACAUAUGAUGGAUCUUAAAUAUGUUUGUCCAGUUCUAAGAGAGUCGCAAGCUUUAAAUAUGGAAAGGUGUUUUCUUUUUCUCUUAAGAUCCCUAUUAGGACAAAAGUGCACCAGUCAGAUGGCAGAAGUGUCUUCAUCAUCUAUAUAUGUAAUCCUACAGAAACAUGUGCCACCUUUCCUAAGAACCGGAAAGGAAUACAUGGAAGACUGGCAGCACCAUCUCCUGGCAGAUAUAAGAAAUAGGGACCACUUUGUGUCAGAACGCAGGGACGAGUAAUUUCUUUGUGGAUUUUAAAAAGGCUGUAACAGGAACUAACUUCACAAGAGUAUAUUCCCUCCCUGGGAAGAUUAACUUUUAUAUGCUUCAGGGAAGAAAAGCAUUUUGUGUUAUUAUAAUUAUGAGGAACACAUACUCACAAUUAUGAAGAACAAAUUCAAGUUGCUUCUGCCUUUAAAAAGCUCUCUCAUGUUGGCCUUUCUGCUUUCCUUUAUAUUGUAGUAAUAGCAGGUUUCAAAAUUAGCACAGCAGGUAAAUUAGUCCAGUUGCAGUGUAUUAGUGUAGUCCUGGAAGACCACAGAAGACCAUAGAAGCUCCCUGUAGUCAGAAAAUAAUGGAAUAUGUAGAUUUCAAGAGAUGUAGCCAAGUUGCUGUCUUGCUGAGUAGGCGGGGGAAAUAGCGGGAUAAGACUAUUAAUGCUGUAAACUGCUGGAUCAUUAACGUGGAAUGCUAUUAUACAUGUUUAGAAAGUGACAAUGGGCCAAACAGCACUAAGUGAGGAUGAGGUCUUCAGAGUAAUGAAAGACUGUAUGGGAAAAAAACCCCCAACAUCUAUGAAGAUAAAAGAGAGGAGACUAAGACAGAUGACUUAGUGGAAGACAGUCAUGGAAGAGAACAGAGGAGAAAAAAAAAAAAGGUGAGGAAGAGAGGAAUUCUAGAAACUUCUACAUUUUUUUCUUGAACACUACUACUGGUGUGCCAGUAGUACUACAUACUACUGGUAUGCCAAGGAUUCCAGAUCACAGUUGUCAGAACAGUCUCAAUCAGCAAGAGGGAGAAGACUUAACCUCAGUGAUCAAGAUACAAGUAUACCAGUCGUUUUGUUAAGUCUUGCAGAUAUGGUCUUGCUACUAGGUCCCAUGCUCCCUGGUGUUAAACAGACACAAAAUCCUCCGUGUGUUACACAAACAUUUGUUGUUGGGUUUUUUUCCAUGUUUUGGAGGUUAUUUUACUUUGAGAAACUCCCAAGUGCUUUUAAAGAAUUUUUUUUGCAGAUGAUCAUGAAAGUGGAAGAGACUUAAGAACUCAUUCAUUCCAUCCUCUUACUCCUUGUAAGACAUUGCACUUCCCAGGAUUUCACCCAACUUAGAUUCAAGAGCCACGAGUAAAAGGGGUUCCAAUAAUUCCCAUGGGAAAAUAUACAGCUUUGUGCAGCCUACUGUCUCCCACAUGGGUGGGGUGGGGCUCCGCUUAUCUCUUGAGCUCAGAACCAAAAUCAGGCCUUUUUCCCUCAGGGGCAUCAUUUACUAUUCAAACAUUCACAAAACAAAGGUAAUCCUGGAUCCUCCUCCAGGACCUGCCCUAAAAUUAGCUUCCUUUCUAAGCAAACUAUUAAAUUUUAUAUUUUAGGAAUCACUCUGGUUAGUGGGAUAACCUCUUUUAUCAAAUACUUGUUCUUAAAGGAACACUUCUUCUGAGCAGGGUUUGCUGCCCAGUUAGCUGUAUCUGCACUUCUCUAGCUUUUAUUAUUAACACAAGAGAACACAUUUUACUGGCUAUAUAUGUUCAAUUAUUUUCUUUCUUUUUUUAUUCCAUCUGCUGUACUUGUGUUAUUUCUCACCGAAACACACUGCAUGCUGUUUGUCAUUCAUUUCUAAUCAUAUUAUAUGUAUUUAUCAUAUCUUUGUUUAGGCCCUAAUGCCUUUAAUAAACUGGCUCAAAUUCCUUAAUGGGGGAAGAGAAGAAUGCAUUCCUAUCAAUACUGGGUAUCAACACACUCCCAAAGUGCUUUGUACUGGACACAAGUUGAUAUGUUUGUAUAAAUAAAUAAAAAAAAAACCCAACACACCCAGACAUACCAUCAGAAUAACCUACUGAUACAAAAUAAAUUAUUGUUAUUAACGUGGAAUAAACAACAUUGCUAAAUCAAUUACACUCUUCUGAAUUACUAUUUACUGUUUUGCUAUUAUAUUGUCUAAACACCUUCAUCUAACCAUGCCAUUGUGAUGGGCUCUGUCAAAACACAAAUCACAAACAGUCGAUAACCCUAAAAAUAUUUACAAGCAAUCAACUUUUAUUGUUAAGGUGUCCUUGUGAGAUAAGAAGUAAAUGGAAGAAACAAAACAUAUCCAGUGGGAAAAUUCAAGUGAUAACAGAAAAAGAAACCUUUUACCUGGCUUCCUCUAUCUUGUUUUGACAAGUUACAAACAGUGAGAGACAGGAAAGUCCACCCAUAAUAAAAAAAUGGAUCUGUACAGGGUUUUCUGCUGUUCAAGAAGUGGUCUGAAAAUAGGUAUAAAUUGUUUGCAGAUAAAACAAGACUAUUCCAAACAGUUCCAUCUAAAGUUGAUUCUAAGAGUUGCAGAAAGAUCCUGCCUUAUUAAAUGUUGUCUGAUAAAAUGGCAAAUGAAAAUUGAUGCUUACCUUAACCAAAUACGCACAGUGAUGAGCACUCGGAAAGAGCUGUUGGAAAGCUGGUGGAGCAUCAACUACCUGAAAUCUCAAUUCUGUACUCAGUGGAGGUCAAAAAAUAGGAAAGUCACUAGAAUUAAGACAUGACCAGAAGAAAAUGAUACAUUAUGUACUUCAGAAUGGGUAUACUAUAACUAAAAAAAUACAGGAAGAGGUAACUAGAACAAGCACAAAUAUGAAAUAAUUCCACACAAGGGAAGACUAACUGAAAUAAGACUUUUCAUUUGGGAAAAAAAAAAAA